This 461-nucleotide ribosomal RNA is filed under the name uncultured bacterium. RNAcentral's name for it is "partial 16S ribosomal RNA". It matches the Rfam family "Bacterial small subunit ribosomal RNA", at positions 338 to 795 of the family's 1533-position model. The record is from RNAcentral.
CCUACGGGUGAGCAGCAGUGAGGAAUAUUGGUCAAUGGACGCAAGUCUGAACCAGCCAUGCCGCGUGCAGGAAGACGGCUCUAUGAGUUGUAAACUGCUUUUGUACGAGGGUAAACGCAGAUACGUGUAUCUGUCUGAAAGUAUCGUACGACUAAGGAUCGGCUAACUCCGUGCCAGCAGCCGCGGUAAUACGGAGGAUUCAAGCGUUAUCCGGAUUUAUUGGGUUUAAAGGGUGCGUAGGCGGUCGGAUAAGUUAGAGGUGAAAUCCCGAGGCUCAACUUCGGAAUUGCCUCUGAUACUGUUCAGCUAGAGAGUAGUUGCGGUAGGCGGAAUGUAUGGUGUAGCGGUGAAAUGCUUAGAGAUCAUACAGAACACCGAUUGCGAAGGCAGCUUACCAAGCUACUUCUGACGUUGAGGCACGAAAGCGUGGGGAGUAAACAGGAUUAGAUACCCUUGUAGUC